UACGUAGGGUGCGAGCGUUAAUCGGAAUUACUGGGCGUAAAGCGUGCGCAGGCGGUUUUGUAAGUCAGAUGUGAAAUCCCCGGGCUUAACCUGGGAACUGCGUUUGAAACUACAAGGCUAGAGUGUAGCAGAGGGGGGUGGAAUUCCACGUGUAGCAGUGAAAUGCGUAGAGAUGUGGAGGAACACCGAUGGCGAAGGCAGGUCUCUGGGCCAUUACUGACACUGAGGAGCGAAAGCGUGGGGAGCGAACAGG
Molecule: ribosomal RNA, 253 nt
Filed under: uncultured bacterium
Lineage: Bacteria
Description: partial 16S ribosomal RNA
Rfam family: Bacterial small subunit ribosomal RNA
Source: RNAcentral